This 497-nucleotide ribosomal RNA is filed under the name uncultured bacterium. RNAcentral's name for it is "partial 16S ribosomal RNA". It matches the Rfam family "Bacterial small subunit ribosomal RNA", at positions 28 to 507 of the family's 1533-position model. The record is from RNAcentral.
GAUGAACGCUGGCGGCGUGCCUAAUACAUGCCAGUCGAGCGAACAGAUGAGGAGCUUGCUCCUCUGACGUUAGCGGCGGACGGGUGAGUAACACGUGGAUAACCUACCUACAAGACUGGGAUAACUUCGGGAAACCGGAGCUAAUACCGGAUAAUAUAUUGAACCGCAUGGUUCAAUAGUGAAAGACGGUUUUGCUGUCACUUAUAGAUGGAUCCGCGCCGCAUUAGCUAGUUGGUAAGGUAACGGCUUACCAAGGCAACGAUGCGUAGCCGACCUGAGAGGGGGAUCGGCCACACUGGAACUGAGACACGGUCCAGACUCCUACGGGAGGCAGCAGUAGGGAAUCUUCCGCAAUGGGCGAAAGCCUGACGGAGCAACGCCGCGUGAGUGAUGAAGGUCUUCGGAUCGUAAAACUCUGUUAUUAGGGAAGAACAAAUGUGUAAGUAACUAUGCACGUCUUGACGGUACCUAAUCAGAAAGCCACGGCUAACUACGUG